AUUAAAAAUUAAAUUAAUAUAUUUUAAUUUAAUUAAUAACAAUAAAAAAAAUUUUUAAAAAUUUAGGUUAAUAAAUUAAUUAUUUAAAUUAAAUUUUGUAAAUAAAUAAUUAAAUUAAUAAAAGUUAAUUUUUUUUUUACCUUUUGUAUCAGGGUUUAUUAAAAUAAAGGUUUUAAAAAUAUUUUCUCGAAUUUAAAAAAUUUAAAUAAAUAUAAUUUUUAAUGUAGUAAAAUUAUUUUUAAUAUUUAUUUAAAAAUUAAAUGUAAUUUAAUUUUAACUUUAUCUAGUUAUUUAAUAAAUAAAUUUAAUUUAAUUUUAAUAAUUUUAAAUUAAUAGUUUAAUAUUAAUUUAAAAAAUUAAAAUUAUAAAUUAAGGGAUAACCUUUAAUUUAAAUUUUAAGGUUUAAUAAUAAAAUUUAUUUAAAUGUAAAUUUAAAAAUUUUUACAUUAAUAAAAAUUUAAUAAUUUAUAAUUUAAAUAAUUUUUUUUUAUUAAAUUUAAUAAUUUAUUAAAUUAAAAUUUUAAAUUUUAAAAAAUUUAAAAUAAUGAUAAAAUUAGUAAAUUAUACAUAUAUAUAUAUAUAUAUAUAUAUAUAUAUAUAUUUAUUUAAAAAUAAAAAUAAAAUUUUUUAGAUUAUUUUAAAUAAUUAGGCAAAAUUUAUUUUCAAAUGUUUAACAAAAACAUAGUUUAAAGAAUUUAAUUUUAAAUAUAAUUUGCUCAAUGAAUAUAUUUAAAUAGCUGCAGUAUAUUAACUGUACUAAGGUAGCAUAAUAAUUUGUUUUUUAAUUAAAAAAUAGAAUGAAAGAUUUAAUGAAAAAUAAACUGUUUCAAAAUAAAAAAUAAUUAAAUUUAAAUUUUAAGUUAAAAUACUUAAAUUUUUUUAAAAGACAAGAAGACCCUAUAAAAUUUUAUUAAAAACUUGAAAUUUUUAAUUUAAUUGGGGUAAUUUUAAAAUUUAUUAAAUUUUUAUUUUUUUUUACAUAAAUUUAUGAAAUUUAUAACUUUAAAUAUUUAAAAUUAAAAAAAAAUUACUUUAGGGAUAACAGGAUAAAAUUAUUUAUUAGUUCUUAUAUUUAAUAAUUUUUAUUACCUCGAUGUUGAAUUAAAAUUAAAUUUAAAUGAAAAAAAUUAAAAUUUUUAGU
RNAcentral lists this ribosomal RNA (1141 nucleotides) under Sigalphus bicolor. Its description in RNAcentral is "16S ribosomal RNA". The record is from RNAcentral. Lineage: Eukaryota; Metazoa; Arthropoda; Insecta; Hymenoptera; Braconidae.